RNAcentral lists this ribosomal RNA (522 nucleotides) under uncultured Glomeraceae. RNAcentral describes it as "SSU rRNA". It matches the Rfam family "Eukaryotic small subunit ribosomal RNA", at positions 569 to 1093 of the family's 1831-position model. Lineage: Eukaryota; Fungi; Glomeromycota; Glomeromycetes; Glomerales; Glomeraceae. The record is from RNAcentral.
AGCAGCCGCGGUAAUUCCAGCUCCAAUAGCGUAUAUUAAAGUUGCUGCAUUUAAAAAGCUCGUAGUUGAAUUUCGGGACCAUCAUGUCGGUCGUGCCUAGGUACGUACUGGCAUUGUUGGUUUCUCCCUUCUGACGAACCAUGAUGUCAUUUAUUUGGUGUUGUGGGGAAUCAGGACUGUUACUUUGAAAAAAUUAGAGUGUUUAAAGCAGGCUUUAGCUUGAAUACAUUAGCAUGGAAUAAUGAAAUAGGACGUUCGAACCUAUUUUGUUGGUUUCUAGGAUCAACGUAAUGAUUAAUAGGGAUAGUUGGGGGCAUUAGUAUUCAAUUGUCAGAGGUGAAAUUCUUGGAUUUAUUGAAGACUAACUACUGCGAAAGCAUUUGCCAAGGAUGUUUUCAUUAAUCAAGAACGAAAGUUAGGGGAUCGAAGACGAUCAGAUACCGUCGUAGUCUUAACCAUAAACUAUGCCGACUAGGGAUCGGAUGAUGUUAAUUUUUUAAUGACUCAUUCGGCGCCUUACGG